AUCCUGGCUCAGAUUGAACGCUGGCGGCGUGCUUAACACAUGCAAGUCGAACGAGAGGACAAGAGAAGCUUGCUUCUUUUGGAAUCGAGUGGCAAAUGGGUGAGUAACACGUAAACAACCUGCCUUCAGGAUGGGGACAACAGACGGAAACGACUGCUAAUACCGAAUACGCUUGGAAGACCGCAUGAUUUUCCAAGGAAAGGGUGGCCUCUACCUGUAAGCUAUCGCCUGAAGAGGGGUUUGCGUCUGAUUAGGCAGUUGGUGAGGUAACGGCCCACCAAACCUACGAUCAGUAGCCGGUCUGAGAGGAUGAACGGCCACAUUGGGACUGAGACACGGCCCAAACUCCUACGGGAGGCAGCAGUGGGGAAUAUUGCACAAUGGGGGAAACCCUGAUGCAGCGACGCCGCGUGAGUGAUGAAGUAUUUCGGUAUGUAAAACUCUAUCAGCAGGGAAGAUAAUGACGGUACCUGACUAAGAAGCACCGGCUAAAUACGUG
RNAcentral lists this ribosomal RNA (499 nucleotides) under uncultured bacterium. RNAcentral's name for it is "bacterial SSU rRNA". It matches the Rfam family "Bacterial small subunit ribosomal RNA", at positions 16 to 507 of the family's 1533-position model. The record is from RNAcentral.